This 521-nucleotide ribosomal RNA is filed under the name Rhombophryne botabota. RNAcentral describes it as "partial 16S ribosomal RNA". It matches the Rfam family "Bacterial large subunit ribosomal RNA", at positions 1922 to 2606 of the family's 2925-position model. Lineage: Eukaryota; Metazoa; Chordata; Amphibia; Anura; Microhylidae. The record is from RNAcentral.
GUUAAACGGCCGCGGUACCCUAACCGUGCGAAGGUAGCACAAUCACUUGUUCUUUAAAUCAGGACUAGUAUGAACGGCCCCACGAGGGCUAUACUGUCUCCCCCCUUUAAUCAGUGAAACUGAUCUCCUCGUGAAGAAGCGAGGAUACCCAAAUAAGACGAGAAGACCCCAUGGAACUUUAAACUUGUACCACUGCCCAUAGUAUACCACACCAACCAGGGCAAUAAUGACUACGAGUCUUUCGGCUGGGGCGACCACGGAGAAAAAUUAAACCUCCACGAUGAAAGGGACACCCUCCCCCCUAAUCCUAGAGCUACUGCUCCAAGAAUCAACAAAUUGACAUAAAUUGACCCAAACACCUUGAUCAACGAACCAAGCUACCCUGGGGAUAACAGCGCAAUCCAUUUCAAGAGACCCCAUCGACAAAUGGGCUUACGACCUCGAUGUUGGAUCAGGGUAUCCCGGUGGUGCAGCCGCUACCAAAGGUUCGUUUGUUCAACGAUUAAAACCCUACGUGAUCU